Long non-coding RNA from Coregonus clupeaformis (lake whitefish), 546 nucleotides. RefSeq lists it as uncharacterized. The record is from RefSeq and is a predicted model, not a curated record. NCBI's taxonomy places the organism in Eukaryota, Metazoa, Chordata, Actinopteri, Salmoniformes, Salmonidae. The transcript has 4 exons.
AGAACCAAUGGGUGUGCCUGAGUCUUAUCACCUCUCAACUAGUGGGUACAAUUGGAGCUCAUGCUCCACUCUCAAGUUGAAUCUGAACUUGUUGACUGAUGCCAAGACGGCGGCUGCUAAGAAGAAGGGAGCAGCUGCAGACCAGAAGACAUCAGCCAAGGCAGCACUGGUCCACACCUACCCUGUCUUGUCGGACGCAGACCCGAAGACAUUCAAGCAGGACUUUGAGAGCAAGCAUCCCAAGUCAAUGGUCCCAGUACUGGUUGAUGUGCACGCCUAAACUAACGAUGACCACGAUUUGAAUGCUGCAACUGAGACGGAAUGACGUCAAGGGACACACGCUGAGACCCCGAGUAUGACUGGACAUGGCCUGGAUAUUUGUGACAAUUACCUAAAAGGGGUGCAGAAGCACACCAGCACCCAAUUUUAUUUUUAUUCCAUGGCCAACCAUCCCUCUAGCUACCCCUUAUUUCACACUAUGCCUUUUAUGCCCCAUGGUCACUCAACUUCUAACACUUUGGAACUCUCCAUCUUAUCUGAAUUAUA